Molecule: long non-coding RNA, 1906 nt
Organism: Bubalus bubalis (water buffalo)
Lineage: Eukaryota; Metazoa; Chordata; Mammalia; Artiodactyla; Bovidae
Exons: 2
Source: RefSeq, a predicted model, not a curated record
ACAAUCUUUAUUUUUAACUAAACACAAAAGUCAUAGACUAUGGUUCCUCAUAACACCCCUUUUGGACAGAAACUUUACUUAGUUAUUCAGUCUAACAGCUUAAUUGCUUCUGAAGAUGUUUACAUGGUCUCCGGAAAAGUCUCGAGUAUGCCCUAGGGCAGAUGGGCCCAAACCAAUUUGGCUUUUAUGACUGGCUUCAAGGGCCAAGAAAGAAAACAUGAAGUCAAUCCAAAAGUUGCUUCAUAUGUUAGUAAAUUAACUUCACCAGUCAAAUGGGUUAAAACCAUCAAACCAGUUCAGGUUUGUGGACAAUCUUCAUUUAAAUCCAAGUAGCCCAACAUUCUCAUCCCUUCAAACCACAACAGAGCUCAGCUCAGGCUGGAGCAGACCUCCGAGACUGAACAGCUUGCCUAACCCAGAAGCCCGUUCACUAGCAGAAACAGCACAGGGAAGCCAGGGCCCCAGGCACCAUCAGGACUGGGACUCCAAGGGGCACCUUUUGAUUUGCAGGAGUGAGUUGCUAGGGGAGGUGAGACGCUCUGAAUCUUAACAUCUCUACUCAGUGGAUAUUUUCCAAACAAAUGCUCUUUUCUCUUGCACAGUAAUAAUUCCACAUCUGUUCUAUAUAUUCUUGAACAAUCACACCUGUUAACACUUUGCCAUCACAAGAAAAGCCCUGAAAAGGUGAGGGGAGAACCUAUUGAAUUUAUUUGUGCUUUUAGUGAUUUCUGAGAGAAAGGUGGUAUUGCAGCCAUCCAUUAGAGCCAUGUACUGUAGUAAAGCUAAAAGUCUGUCACACAAAAGAACCACCUGUAGCCACUCUUUCGAAAGGAAAGUCCUUGGCAAACAAUGGCCCGAGUGAACCAGUUUAAUCAGGCAGGAGUCAAGAUCACUGAGACAUAAAUUAAGCAUUCAUCCUUGAGUAGCAGCCAAGCAGCCAAAGCCCCCAUAAUCCCAAUUAAUCCCAUUUUGUGUGGUUGCCCUUGGGCCAAGGGCAGAGGGGAAGGGAAUCUGCGCAUGCUGGUUCCGCCUCAGCUCUUCACCUGCACAGGGGUGGGUCGUAAUAAAGGAGGGCUCCUGUCCUGGCGCUGCUGCACUCAGAGCACCCCCCCUCCUUCAGCAUCUGCGAACUGUCAGCAGAACUUUCCUCAAGGACACCCUGCACUUUCAGAGAGUCAGAUGCUCGGGCUCCUCCGAAGACAGACAUGACUCUGUCUCAUUCUCCUUUGUCUGUUCAAUGGCACUGACUUCCUAUCCCUACUCCUGCGGUCAGAUGGAGUGAACGAACGUCUCACAAGCCCCCUGGAACUCAUUUCUGCCGAUUGAUACUCUGUUUUGGAGGAGAAGUUGACCAGUUUCCCAGGAACAGGAAAUUUCCCUCCAGAGAGCAGCUGUUGUGUCCACAGACAGAAUCAGCUCAUGAGGCUGCUGCUUACCUCUCUUGCUCCUGGUGGGAAGGAAACUCAGUAUCUCUGCAAACAAGUCCUCACCUUUGUUGCAGUCACUGUGCUCAGGCCCCCAAGUCCCUUCCCAUUUUACCAGAAGCUGCUCCAGACACCAGCGAAGUAGAAAUGGCUCUGUGGUAGCUGACCAGCCAAUAAAAGUCUUCCCUGCUUCUUUGGACAUCUAGCAGGCCCCAGGUCCCAGCUCUCCUUGUAGUCGUGGGGAGGAAGAUGACAUACAGCUGGGUUCUCUCCAGCAGAACAGAUGGAAAUGCACCGCCUUAACUCUCCUGUCCUGUAUUCUCCUGGAAGCCAAGUUUUAAAGAUGGCAAUGUCACCAGCAGCCCGAGUCCCAGAAUGGCAACAUGGCACAGAAUCACAUUUCCUUUGCUUUUUCCAGCAAUACUUUUCCAACUCUACUGUACUGUUAGGAGCAAAAAAUAAACUUCCAUUGUGUUGAGCAA